GACGAACGCUGGCGGCGUGCUUAACACAUGCAAGUCGAACGAUGAAGCCUUCGGGUGGAUUAGUGGCGAACGGGUGAGUAACACGUGGGUGAUCUGCCCUGCACUUCGGGAUAAGCUUGGGAAACUGGGUCUAAUACCGGAUAGGACCAUGCCAUGCAUGUGGUGUGGUGGAAAGCUUUUGCGGUGUGGGAUGAGCCCGCGGCCUAUCAGCUUGUUGGUGGGGUGAUGGCCUACCAAGGCGUCGACGGGUAGCCGGCCUGAGAGGGUGUCCGGCCACACUGGGACUGAGAUACGGCCCAGACUCCUACGGGAGGCAGCAGUGGGGAAUAUUGCACAAUGGGCGCAAGCCUGAUGCAGCGACGCCGCGUGGGGGAUGACGGCCUUCGGGUUGUAAACCUCUUUCAGCACAGACGAAGCGUGAGUGACGGUAUGUGCAGAAGAAGCACCGGCCAACUACGUGCCAGCAGCCGCGGUAAUACGUAGGGUGCGAGCGUUGUCCGGAAUUACUGGGCGUAAAGAGCUUGUAGGUGGUUUGUCGCGUUGUUCGUGAAAUCUCACGGCUUAAACUGUGAGCGUGCGGGCGAUACGGGCAGACUAGAGUACUGCAGGGGAGACUGGAAUUCCUGGUGUAGCGGUGGAAUGCGCAGAUAUCAGGAGGAACACCGGUGGCGAAGGCGGGUCUCUGGGCAGUAACUGACGCUGAGAAGCGAAAGCGUGGGGAGCGAACAGGAUUAGAUACCCUGGUAGUCCACGCCGUAAACGGUGGGUACUAGGUGUGGGUUUCCUUCCUUGGGAUCCGUGCCGUAGCUAACGCAUUAAGUACCCCGCCUGGGGAGUACGGCCGCAAGGCUAAAACUCAAAGGAAUUGACGGGGGCCCGCACAAGCGGCGGAGCAUGUGGAUUAAUUCGAUGCAACGCGAAGAACCUUACCUGGGCUUGACAUGCACUAGAAACACCUAGAGAUAGGUGCCCCCUUGUGGUUGGUGUGCAGGUGGUGCAUGGCUGUCGUCAGCUCGUGUCGUGAGAUGUUGGGUUAAGUCCCGCAACGAGCGCAACCCUUGUCUCAUGUUGCUAGCGGGUAAUGCCGGGGACUCGUGAGAGACUGCCGGGGUCAACUCGGAGGAAGGUGGGGAUGACGUCAAGUCAUCAUGCCCCUUAUGUCCAGGGCUUCACACAUGCUACAAUGGCCGGUACAAAGGGCUGCGAUGCCGUGAGGUGGAGCGAAUCCUUUAAAGCCGGUCUCAGUUCGGAUCGGGGUCUGCAACUCGACCCCGUGAAGUCGGAGUCGCUAGUAAUCGCAGAUCAGCAACGCUGCGGUGAAUACGUUCCCGGGCCU
This 1336-nucleotide ribosomal RNA is filed under the name uncultured bacterium. RNAcentral's name for it is "bacterial SSU rRNA". It matches the Rfam family "Bacterial small subunit ribosomal RNA", at positions 28 to 1381 of the family's 1533-position model. The record is from RNAcentral.